This 162-nucleotide unclassified non-coding RNA is filed under the name soil metagenome. RNAcentral's name for it is "partial internal transcribed spacer 1". The record is from RNAcentral.
CAGAGUUUCAAGACUCCCUAAACCAUUGUGAACCUACCUCUACCUGUUGCCUUCGGCGGGCUGCCAGCCCGCUCCCGGUCCCCCCGGGACGGCCCGCCAGAGGAUACCCUAAACUCUUGACAUUUGCCUCUCUGUAAUUAUGCGUUAAACAUGAAUAAGUCA